RNAcentral lists this long non-coding RNA (588 nucleotides) under Salmo salar (Atlantic salmon). RNAcentral's name for it is "lncRNA (ENSSSAG00000115629.1)". The record is from RNAcentral. Lineage: Eukaryota; Metazoa; Chordata; Actinopteri; Salmoniformes; Salmonidae.
UGUGUGUGUGUGUGUGUGUGUGUGUGUGUGUGUGUACAUGUUUUAGUUGUAAUUUCAGUCAGCUGUGUCGUGCUAGGACAACAACCAAAACGUUGUACCCAAGAGGGGACCCCGGGACCGAGUUUGAGAAACCUGCUGUACAGCAAAACACACUGGAGAUGAAAGCAGCCGAUCCUGACUGAUUAAAGCCCAUAGAAUAACAUGUAGAACAGCUAUGACCUCUAGGACCCUGGAGCUCCAAGCCAGCGUCACUGUUCCCCUCUAAUCAGGGACUGAUUUAGACCUGGGACACCAGGUGGGUUAUUCCCCUCUAAUCAGGGCCUGAUUUAGACCUGGGGACACCAGGUGGGUUAUUCCCCUCUAAUCAGGGCCUGAUUUAGACCUGGGGACACCAGGUGGGUUAUUCCCCUCUAAUCAGGGCCUGAUUUAGACCUGGGGACACCAGGUGGGUUAUUCCCCCUCUAAUCAGGGCCUGAUUUAGACCUGGGGACACCAGGUGGGUUAUUCCCCUCUAAUCAGGGACUGAUUUAGACCUGGGGACACCAGGUGGGUGAUUCCCCCUCUAAUCAGGGACUGAUUUAGACCUGG